This 422-nucleotide ribosomal RNA is filed under the name Fusobacteriota bacterium. RNAcentral's name for it is "Fusobacteria bacterium partial 16S ribosomal RNA". It matches the Rfam family "Bacterial small subunit ribosomal RNA", at positions 355 to 776 of the family's 1533-position model. Lineage: Bacteria; Fusobacteriati; Fusobacteriota. The record is from RNAcentral.
UGGGGGAUUUUGCACAAUGGGCGCAAGCCUGAUGCAGCGACGCCGCGUGAGGGAUGAAGGCCUUCGGGUUGUAAACCUCUUUCGCUGGGUUGAAAGGCCAUGCUUUGGGUGUGGUUGAUUUGAACUGGUAAAGAAGUACCGGCUAACUACGUGCCAGCAGCCGCGGUAAUACGUAGGGUACUAGCGUUGUCCGGAUUUAUUGGGCGUAAAGGGCUUGUAGGUGGUUUGUCGCGUCUGUCGUGAAAUCCUGUGGCUUAACCAUGGGCUUGCGGUGGGUACGGGCAGGCUUGAGUGCGGUAGGGGAGACUGGAAUUCCUGGUGUAGCGGUGGAAUGCGCAGAUAUCAGGGGGAACACCGGUGGCGAAGGCGGGUCUCUGGGCCGUUACUGACACUGAGGGGCGAAAGCGUGGGGAGCGAACAGG